UACGUAGGUGGCGAGCGUUAUCCGGAAUGAUUGGGCGUAAAGGGUGCGUAGGCGGCCUGCUAAGUCUGGAGUGAAAGGUACCGGCUCAACCGGUACAUGCUCUGGAAACUGGCGGGCUAGAGAGCAGGAGAGGGCGGUGGAACUCCAUGUGUAGCGGUAAAAUGCGUAGAUAUAUGGAGGAACACCGGUGGCGAAAGCGGCUCUCUGGCCUGUAACUGACACUGAGGCUCGAAAGCGUGGGGAGCAAACAGG
Molecule: ribosomal RNA, 252 nt
Filed under: uncultured bacterium
Lineage: Bacteria
Description: partial 16S ribosomal RNA
Rfam family: Bacterial small subunit ribosomal RNA
Source: RNAcentral